AUACGGAGGGUGCAAGCGUUGUCCGGAAUCACUGGGCGUAAAGGGCGCGUAGGCGGCGCAGUAAGUAGGGGGUGAAAUCUCACGGCUCAACCGUGAAACUGCCUCCUAAACUGCUGUGCUUGAGCACGGUAGAGGCAGAUGGAAUUCCCGGUGUAGCGGUGGAAUGCGUAGAUAUCGGGAAGAACACCAGUGGCGAAGGCGGUCUGCUGGGCCGUUGCUGACGCUGAGGCGCGACAGCGUGGGGAGCAAACAGGAUUAGAAACCCCGGUAGUCC
This 274-nucleotide ribosomal RNA is filed under the name uncultured bacterium. RNAcentral's name for it is "partial 16S ribosomal RNA". It matches the Rfam family "Bacterial small subunit ribosomal RNA", at positions 523 to 796 of the family's 1533-position model. The record is from RNAcentral.